AACAUCAGUGAAUUGCUGCAACAAAGCAGAAACCAAGUUAGGAACCCCAGCUACGCGAGAAGAACCCUCAGUAGAUGCCAACACUACGAUCUCCUCCGGUUUACUCUCAAUCAAAACAGAGGGCAUUGACUGUUACGACGAAUUAUUGGUAUGCAAACUACAAUCACCCAGUAGCUUAACCCUCAUGCCUUGAUAAACAAAGGAAAACUCCUGAUGCCGCCAAUCCACUUCACAUCUUCACAUCUUCCCAACGUCUCCAACCACUGCACUCCCAAGAUAACAUCCACAGAUCCCAACUCCAAUGUAAUGAAGUCAGUAACAAAAUCCGUAGACUGAAGCUGAAAUGUUACUGCUUUACAUACUCCCAGUGCGUUCACUUGCACCCCAUUACCCAACAACACUUCCACCUUCUUAUCCACC
RNAcentral lists this long non-coding RNA (420 nucleotides) under Brassica napus (rape). RNAcentral's name for it is "long non-coding RNA (BNAP_LNC010145)". Lineage: Eukaryota; Viridiplantae; Streptophyta; Magnoliopsida; Brassicales; Brassicaceae. The record is from RNAcentral.